Molecule: non-coding RNA, 29 nt
Filed under: Homo sapiens (human)
Lineage: Eukaryota; Metazoa; Chordata; Mammalia; Primates; Hominidae
Source: RNAcentral
UGAAACCUAGUUGGGGCUCUGUUGUGUCU